Molecule: long non-coding RNA, 1357 nt
Organism: Quercus lobata
Lineage: Eukaryota; Viridiplantae; Streptophyta; Magnoliopsida; Fagales; Fagaceae
Exons: 2
Source: RefSeq, a predicted model, not a curated record
GCCAAAAUUAUCAUAGGAUUGGGUCACUUCUUCCUAUUGAAGGGGAAAAACCUACAUUCGCUCAACUCUAUAACUAUGAUACAGAUAAUGAAAUAGGACAUAGAAUUGAUGUAGUGAUCAAGAAAUAUAAGAAAAAUGAUGUAGAUCCUGAUAUUGCUAUUGGAUUAUUGGAAAUGUUGGAUAAUUGUAAUGAAUUAGUGAAAGCAUUUUGUGCACAAUAAAUCUCUCUCUCUCUUUUCCUCUUAAAUUUGCUUAUUUUAUAGAGUUUAUCCAAAAAGGUUUUUUUUUUUUUUUAAAUGAAAGAAUUUUGAUUUUGUUAAUUUUUAAAUUUUGAACAAGUUACUGGGGUUUUAGUACAUACAUUUUGCAGUUAGAAUAUUGUUUCAAAUUUGGUGAAUUUUGGGGAAUGUAAUAGUGUGGAAAUUUUAAAACUUUUACUGUCUAGGGAGCCAACUUUAGUCUAACAAGAAAGCCAUGAACAACUUAAGUCCAACAUGAAGGCCAUGAACAUCUAGGUAGUCUGUUGGCAUGUUUUUGUUUCAAUUCUUUUCCUUCCCCUAAUAUAGCUUUGUCAUUUGAUUUGUUAGUUGAAAUUGAAAUAACACAAUUUUCUUAUUCUAGAUGAAAUUGUUUAUGGAUUUUUAUUUUACGUAUAGAUUUCAAUGCAACUAACAUCAAUUUCGUUGCUUACUGUUUUAAUGUUAAGGAUUCAGUGACAAACUUAUUUUGCAUUUGUACUAUUGUUUUACUUGUGGGAAAAAUUUGAUGAGUUUUCUAUGUUUGUGUUUUGUAGUUCGUAUUGAUUUACUACAUGUGAAUGGUGAUGUGGGGGGACUUAGACAAAGAUAAUGAGCUACCUGUCUUCUAUCUCAAGACUAAAGAUGAAUGUUUACAUUGAAUUUUGUACUUGAUGGCACACUCCCACACAUAGAUAGAGUGGAAGAAAACCAUAAUUUUAGUUCUAUGAAGUUCUUGAAAACUUGCCUCAAGUUAUGAUUAGGAGUUCUAUGAUGAUUGUAUGUAACUUAUUAUAGAACAUGGUGGAAAAAUUGAAUCUAAAGGAGAGAGGAACCAACAAAUGUCUCAAAGGCUAUUAGUGCAUGUUGACAAGUUUGGGGUUUGAUGGUGCCAUAGAAGUUUCAAUGGAAGUCUUCUCUCAAUUACUAAGCUGUCAUGUAUGUAAAUUAGGCUACUUAUUGAAAAACAAAUUGUAAAUUAGGCUAGAUAUUGAAAGUUAUUGUUGAAUGCUAUAGUUACUAAAAGCUAUGUUUAGCUACUAAACUACUUGAGAUGUUCCUUAAAAUUUUGGGAUAUAAGUUACUAAGAAAUGUCUUUUAUAUUAUGUUUUCGGAUACAA